Molecule: small RNA, 129 nt
Filed under: Marmota monax (woodchuck)
Lineage: Eukaryota; Metazoa; Chordata; Mammalia; Rodentia; Sciuridae
Source: RNAcentral
GCCGGGCGUGGUGGCGCACUCCUGUAAUCCCAGCGGCUCAGGAGGCUGAGACAGGAGGAUUGCAAGUUCAAAGCCAGCCUCAGCAAAGGCGCACUACUAAGCAACUCACUCAGUAAGACCCUGUCUCUA